CUUUCCCUCUGGCGGCAUGCUUUACACAUGCAAGUCGAACGGUAACAGGCCGCAAGGUGCUGACGAGUGGCGAACGGGUGAGUAAUGCAUCGGAACGUGCCCAGUCGUGGGGGAUAACUACUCGAAAGAGUAGCUAAUACCGCAUACGAUCUAUGGAUGAAAGCGGGGGACCGUAAGGCCUCGCGCGAUUGGAGCGGCCGAUGUCAGAUUAGGUAGUUGGUGGGGUAAAGGCUCACCAAGCCAACGAUCUGUAGCUGGUCUGAGAGGACGACCAGCCACACUGGGACUGAGACACGGCCCAGACUCCUACGGGAGGCAGCAGUGGGGAAUUUUGGACAAUGGGCGCAAGCCUGAUCCAGCAAUGCCGCGUGCAGGAAGAAGGCCUUCGGGUUGUAAACUGCUUUUGUACGGAACGAAACGGCUCUGGUUAAUACCCGGGGCUAAUGACGGUACCGUAAGAAUAAGCACCGGCUAACUACGUG
This 482-nucleotide ribosomal RNA is filed under the name uncultured bacterium. RNAcentral describes it as "partial 16S ribosomal RNA". It matches the Rfam family "Bacterial small subunit ribosomal RNA", at positions 36 to 507 of the family's 1533-position model. The record is from RNAcentral.